UUGAACGCUGGCGGCAUGCUUUACACAUGCAAGUCGAACGGUAACAGGCCGCAAGGUGCUGACGAGUGGCGACCGGGUGAGUAAUGCAUCGGAACGUGCCCAGUCGUGGGGGAUAACUACUCGAAAGAGUAGCUAAUACCGCAUACGAUCUAUGGAUGAAAGCGGGGGACCGUAAGGCCUCGCGCGAUUGGAGCGGCCGAUGUCAGAUUAGGUAGUUGGUGGGGUAAAGGCUCACCAAGCCAACGAUCUGUAGCUGGUCUGAGAGGACGACCAGCCACACUGGGACUGAGACACGGCCCAGACUCCUACGGGAGGCAGCAGUGGGGAAUUUUGGACAAUGGGCGCAAGCCUGAUCCAGCAAUGCCGCGUGCAGGAAGAAGGCCUUCGGGUUGUAAACUGCUUUUGUACGGAACGAAACGGCUCUGGUUAAUACCCGGGGCUAAUGACGGUACCGUAAGAAUAAGCACCGGCUAACUACGU
RNAcentral lists this ribosomal RNA (480 nucleotides) under uncultured bacterium. RNAcentral describes it as "partial 16S ribosomal RNA". It matches the Rfam family "Bacterial small subunit ribosomal RNA", at positions 30 to 506 of the family's 1533-position model. The record is from RNAcentral.